Molecule: long non-coding RNA, 1050 nt
Organism: Physeter macrocephalus (sperm whale)
Lineage: Eukaryota; Metazoa; Chordata; Mammalia; Artiodactyla; Physeteridae
Exons: 3
Source: RefSeq, a predicted model, not a curated record
GCGGGGCUCGGCACUCCCCACUCCCUGCCGUCCCCGACUCCUCCCUCCCCUUCAUCCUGUUCCCAAUCUGUCAUCUUGUCCUGUCGUUAUUCCAUUUGCAGUGUCUCCUAUCCGCACCCCCUACCUGCAGCCCCCCUGGACCGCAGCCUCUCCCUGCCCACAGCGCGGCUCCCCUCCUCGUCCCAGGGGACGGCUGCCUGAUGAACCUUCCCCAAACGCGUCUGUCCCACCACUUCCGGCUCAAGAACCUAUCCGGGCUCCCAAAACCCUGGGCUCCAGCUCAAAGCCCCGUCCAGCCGGGCGAAGCCCCACAGCCCUGACUCACAUGUCCCAGCUCUCCCUCAGCCACGUCCUCUUGCCCGCUCCUUCCACCAGGGACCCACCCCAGCGGCCAAGGAGGGCUCCCGAGGGCACAGGCACACGGAGGGCUGACUUUCAGCCCCGUCCUGCAGUGAAGGAGUGGCCCGUUGGGACAGGCGGCACUCAGGCCCCUAGGAGCUCACACAGCUCACGCUACGCGGCUCAGAAUCAGCUCACUUGGCUGUUUUCCCAUCCUAGACGACGACGUCCCUGAGGACGGGAACCCCAUGCCACACACCAUUAGUAUCCCUCUGACCUGAAUGCUGGGCACGUGGUGGGGGGUCAAUGGGGGGACCUGGAACCCAGCGGUGAGGGGAGCCUGGACACAGGUACCAGGCUCCUGGGAGCAUCCUACCAUCCCUGGGCCGUGCCGAGCCUAUGAUCCACCAACUCGCCACUCCGUCCCCAUGCGACGGCCUUGCUGCCCUCUGCUCACCCCACCCAGGGCCAGAGGGAUGUGCAAAUGCCCACUGGUGCCAAACGCCGGGAAGGGAAGGAAAGUAUGCUAACAAUCCAGCGUUCCCCUCACGGAAAGGCAAGCAUGCAGUCACAAUCCUGCCUGAGAAUGGCACUGCCCUCUGAGAAGUGGUUAUUCUCGAUGUCUCACGCCAAUCUCCUCAGCAAGCUGGAGCUUAUCCUCUGCUCCUUCUGUUGGCCUCCCCUGCCCUUCCUUCUACCCAACUUGUUCUU